Long non-coding RNA from Ruditapes philippinarum (Manila clam), 1265 nucleotides. RefSeq lists it as uncharacterized. The record is from RefSeq and is a predicted model, not a curated record. The transcript is spliced from 2 exons. NCBI's taxonomy places the organism in Eukaryota, Metazoa, Mollusca, Bivalvia, Venerida, Veneridae.
GUAUGUAAGUCUCGUCAUGUGACUUGCGAGAUUUCACGAUAUUUUGCACUUCCGGGUACAAACAAAUAUCAACAAUCCAGCAUUGCUUAUCUAUAUUGGGUAAUACUUGUAUGCCGGUGGGAAAGUAAAACUUACAUGGAAAAGCAAAUGAUAUGUGGAAAUUGGCAGAGUUUUUUGUUUUGUAACGAAAUGCAAAUGGUCUCAUCUUGUGCACAAGUAUCAAUGAAAGACAACUUCGUAUAAUCUUCAGGUGGGUGUGUCAUUUCAAAUUUAGUUUAUCCAAAUAAAUGUUGUAAUAUUUUCAUUUCCAUGUAAAUCUAAUAGAUUUGUUUUUUGAUACAACAUCAUUCGCAUCUGACACCAGACUGGUGAAUUUGAUUUUAUCAAUUUUCUAUAGCGCUACCUGAUUAUCUCUCAGAAGUAUAUAAUGUUUAGAAAUUUCGGACAGCGCAUAUUUCGGAUAAACGUUUCAAUAUGAUUAUCAGUGUGUUUUAGUUAAAUAUAUUUUCUUCCAACUGAAAAUAUUAUUUAUUUAUAAUUAUUAUCUUUAUAAAGCACAAACAGUCAAGCUGUAUAUAACCAAUUUAAAUUGUCAUAAAAUUCAGUGAAAUAUUUUGCUCCUGUAGAUAUUUAGACUGAGGAAAGUGGUGAGAUAAAAGACGUCAACUGGUAUCCGAUGUAAAUACACAUGCAUGUUCUGCUGUAAAAUCGUUUUGGUAUGUGAUUUCAUGGUUGGAUCUUGAGUACUUGUCAUGGCUCUUGAUUUAUUUUGGAGUGUUCACCAUCAGAUUAGAAAUCAAAUAGUGAUACCACCAGGCAUAGUUGAAAGGAAAUGUCCAUACACAGUCUUGGAGUACAUAGUGGUAGAGACAUGGCAGUCCAUUACAGAUUUUGACUGAAUUAAAGCUUCUUAAAGCUCCAUGUCUUGUGUAAACUGUCUGACUGAAUGUUUGUAUUCUGAUAAAAACUAAGGUUGAAGACACUUCAAAGAUAUAUGUCAGUGUAAAAAUGUUAAACAAAAUAUCUGUCUUUGUAAGAAAUAAAUAACCUGUCUUUGUUAGAAAUAAAUAACCUGUCAUUUGUAACUUUGUAUUAACUUAAUUAUUCAAAGAUAAUUUAUCUUCUGCAAAUGGCUGCCCAAAACAGUUUCAACCAGGCAUCAUGUAGUUUCAAAACAGUUAAGAUAAAUUUGUUAUAAAUAGACUUGUAAAGUAACAGGAAUGGUAAAAAGAUUAAUGUUCAGCAUUAAAAUGUUUCUAUCUUGA